CUGGCUCAGGAUGAACGCUAGCGGCAGGCCUAACACAUGCAAGUCGAGGGCAGCAGGGGGUAGCAAUACCCCGCUGGCGACCGGCGGACGGGUGCGUAACGCGUAUGCAACCUACCCGUAACAGGGGGAAUAACGGAGGGAAACCUCCACUAAUGCCCCAUAUGGUCAUGGGACCGCAUGGUUUCGUGACGAAAGCUUCGGUGGUUACGGACGGGCAUGCGUGGCAUUAGGCGGUUGGCGGGUAACGGCCCACCAAACCUACGAUGCCUAGGGGAGCUGAGAGGCUAAUCCCCCACACUGGUACUGAGACACGGACCAGACUCCUACGGGAGGCAGCAGUGAGGAAUAUUGGUCAAUGGACGGAAGUCUGAACCAGCCAUGCCGCGUGAAGGAAGACGGCCCUAUGGGUUGUAAACUUCUUUUAGCCGGGAGUAAUAAGGCGCACGUGCUGCGCCGAUGAAAGUACCGGCGGAAUAAGCAUCGGCCAACUCCGUGCCAGCCGCAGC
RNAcentral lists this ribosomal RNA (506 nucleotides) under uncultured bacterium. RNAcentral's name for it is "bacterial SSU rRNA". It matches the Rfam family "Bacterial small subunit ribosomal RNA", at positions 19 to 518 of the family's 1533-position model. The record is from RNAcentral.